GAUGAAGAACGCAGCGAAAUGCGAUACUUGGUGUGAAUUGCAGAAUCCCGUGAACCAUCGAGUCUUUGAACGCAAGUUGCGCCCGAAGCCGUCAGGCCGAGGGCACGCCUGCCUGGGCGUCACACGCCGUUGCCCCCCCGCGCCCCGCACCCAACUCUUUGGGAGCGACCGCGGGGCGGGCUGAUGAUGGCCUCCCGUGCGCUCCGCCGCGCGGUUGGCCCAAAUACCGAGUCCCCGGCGACGUGCGACACGACGAUCGGUGGUUGAGAGACCUCUGUCGCAAGUCGUGCGCGCCCGUCGCGUCACGCGGGCUCGCAUAGCGCCUCGCGCCGCACCCGGUGCGGAGCUUUCAACGCGACCCCAGGUCAGGCGGGGUUACCCGCUGAAUUUAAGCAUAUCAAUAAGCGGAGGA
This 412-nucleotide unclassified non-coding RNA is filed under the name soil metagenome. RNAcentral's name for it is "partial contains 5.8S ribosomal RNA, internal transcribed spacer 2, and large subunit ribosomal RNA". The stretch from base 1 to 122 matches the Rfam family "5.8S ribosomal RNA", at positions 35 to 154 of the family's 154-position model. The record is from RNAcentral.